This 420-nucleotide ribosomal RNA is filed under the name Convolvulus arvensis. Its description in RNAcentral is "eukaryotic LSU rRNA". The stretch from base 280 to 420 matches the Rfam family "Eukaryotic large subunit ribosomal RNA", at positions 1 to 141 of the family's 3401-position model. The record is from RNAcentral. Lineage: Eukaryota; Viridiplantae; Streptophyta; Magnoliopsida; Solanales; Convolvulaceae.
CGCAAGUUGCGCCUAAAGCCGUCAGGCCGAGGGCACGUCUGCCUGGGCGUCACGCAUCGCGUCGCCCCCCUCCUCGACCUUGUGUCGAGUUGUGGGGAGCGGAAGAUGGCCUCCCGUGCUCCUCACCGGGGUGCGGUUGGCCCAAAUGUGAGUCCUUGGCGGCGGAUGUCAUGGCGAUUGGUGGUCGUACCUAGCGUGCAUAUCGUCGCGCCGUGCCCCCGUUGUCUGUGGGACUAAUGACCCUUUUGGAGCCUCUCUACUUGAGUAGCUCUUCGACCGCGACCCCAGGUCAGGCGGGACUACCCGCUGAGUUUAAGCAUAUCAAUAAGCGGAGGAAAAGAAACUUACCAGGAUUCCCCUAGUAACGGCGAGCGAACCGGGAACAGCCCAGCCUUAGAAUCGGAUGGCCCCGCUAUUCGA